This 105-nucleotide non-coding RNA is filed under the name Salmonella enterica subsp. enterica serovar Typhimurium. The record is from RNAcentral. Lineage: Bacteria; Pseudomonadati; Pseudomonadota; Gammaproteobacteria; Enterobacterales; Enterobacteriaceae.
UAGAUUUGGUUACUGCGCUCCUCCAAGCCAGUUACCGCGGUUCAAAGAGUUGGUAGCUCAGAGAACCUUCGAAAAACCGCCUUGCAGGGCGGUUUUUUCGUUUAC